This 579-nucleotide long non-coding RNA is filed under the name Monodelphis domestica (gray short-tailed opossum). RNAcentral's name for it is "lncRNA (ENSMODG00000043852.1)". The record is from RNAcentral. Lineage: Eukaryota; Metazoa; Chordata; Mammalia; Didelphimorphia; Didelphidae.
GCUAAGUGACUCAGUAGAUAGAGAACCAGGCCUAGAGUUCAGUUCAAAUUUAACGUUAGUUACUUCCUAGCGGAAGGAAGGAAGGAAGGAAGGAAGGAAGGAAAGAAAGAAAGAAAGAAAGAAAGAAAGAAAGAAAGAAAGAAAGAAAGAAAGAAAGAAAGAAAGAAAGAAAGAAAGAGGAAAGAAAGAAAGAAAGAAAGAAAGAAAGAAAGAAAGAAAGAAAGAAAGAAAGAAAGAAAGAAAGAAAGAAAGAAAGAAAGAAAGAAAGAAAGAAAGAAAGAAAGAAAGAAGGAAGGAGAGAAAGAGGAAGGAAGGAAGAAAGGAAGGAAGGAAGGAAGGAAGGAAGGAAGGAAGGAAGGAAGGAAGGAAGGAAGGAAGGAAGGAAGGAAGGAAGGAAGUAGGAAGGAAGAAGGAAAGAAGGGAAGGAAAGGAGGGGAGGGAGGGAGGAAGGAAGGAAAGAAAGGAAGGAGGAAGGUAGGUGAGUAGGGAAGUAAGAAAGGAAGGAAGGAAGGAAAGAAAGGUAGGACGGAGGAAGGAAGUAGGGAGGGAAGGAAGGGUAGAAAGGGAGGGAAGGGAGGA